This 468-nucleotide ribosomal RNA is filed under the name uncultured bacterium. RNAcentral describes it as "partial 16S ribosomal RNA". It matches the Rfam family "Bacterial small subunit ribosomal RNA", at positions 28 to 507 of the family's 1533-position model. The record is from RNAcentral.
GAUGAACGCUGACAGAAUGCUUAACACAUGCAAGUCUACUUGAAUUUGGGUUUUUUAACUUAGAUUUGGGUGGCGGACGGGUGAGUAACGCGUAAAGAACUUGCCUCACAGCUAGGGACAACAUUUGGAAACGAAUGCUAAUACCUGAUAUUAUGAUUAUAAGGCAUCUUAGAAUUAUGAAAGCUAUAUGCGCUGUGAGAGAGCUUUGCGUCCCAUUAGCUAGUUGGCGAGGUAACGGCUCACCAAGGCGAGGAUGGGUAGCCGGACUGAGAGGGUGAACGGCCACAAGGGGACUGAGACACGGCCCUUACUCCUACGGGAGGAAGCAGUGGGGAAUAGUGGACAAUGGACCAAGAGUCUGAUCCAGCAAUUCUGUGUGCACGAUGACGUUUUUCGGAAUGUAAAGUGCUUUCAGUUGGGAAGAAAAAAAUGACGGUACCAACAGAAGAAGUGACGGCUAAAUACGUG